GCUUAUGAGUGGAAUUGAAUCUCCGUGUGCGCCGUGUGCGGAUAGCUUGCUAUGCGUGUGUGGCUGCGUGUGGAUUGAAUCGAUACUUAACUUAUUGCCGUUCGGGACGUUGACGAAAUGGAGCGAUUUGACCCGUCUUGAAACACGGACCAAGGAGUCUAACAUGUGUGCAAGUGUUAGGGUGUGGAAACCCCAGCGCGUAAUGAAAGUAAAGGAUAGCGUAAGUUAUCUGAGGUAGGAAAUGCUGCGGGUUCGUCCUGCGGCGUGGCACUAUCGACCGAUCAUGAACCCUUGUGGUGAAAGAUUUGAGUAUGAGCACAUAUGUUGGUACCCGAAAGAUGGUGAACUAUGCCUGAGUAGGGUGAAGCCAGGGGAAACUCUGGUGGAAGCUCGUAGCGAUUCUGACGUGCAAAUCGAUCGUCAAACUUGGGUAUAGGGGCGAAAGACUAAUCGAACCAUCUAGUAGCUGGUUCCCUCCGAAAUUUCCCUCAGGAUAGCAGCAACUUAUUUACGAUAGUUUUAUGAGGUAAAGCGAAUGAUUAGAGGAUUCGGGGAAGAAACUUUCUCGACCUAUUCUCAAACUUUAAAUCUGUAAGACCUGCAGGUUUCUUAAUU
Molecule: ribosomal RNA, 615 nt
Filed under: Bremia lapsanae
Lineage: Eukaryota; Oomycota; Peronosporomycetes; Peronosporales; Peronosporaceae
Description: LSU rRNA
Rfam family: Eukaryotic large subunit ribosomal RNA
Source: RNAcentral